RNAcentral lists this ribosomal RNA (2914 nucleotides) under human gut metagenome. RNAcentral's name for it is "bacterial LSU rRNA". It matches the Rfam family "Bacterial large subunit ribosomal RNA". The record is from RNAcentral.
UUAAGUUAUUAAGGGCGCACGGUGGAUGCCUUGGCACUAGAAGCCGAUGAAGGACGUUACUAACGACGAUAUGCUUUGGGUAGCUGUAAGUAAGCGUUGAUCCAGAGAUUUCCGAAUGGGGGAACCUAGCAUGAGUUAUGUCAUGUUAUCGACAUGUGAAUUCAUAGCAUGUCAGAAGGCAGACCCGGAGAACUGAAACAUCUUAGUACCCGGAGGAAGAGAAAGAAAAAUCGAUUCCCUGAGUAGCGGCGAGCGAAACGGGAAGAGCCCAAACCAACAAGCUUGCUUGUUGGGGUUGUAGGACACUCUAUACGGAGUUACAAAAGAACAUGUUAGACGAAUCAUCUGGAAAGAUGAAUCAAAGAAGGUAAUAAUCCUGUAGUCGAAAACAUAUUCUCUCUUGAGUGGAUCCUGAGUACGGCGGAACACGAGAAAUUCCGUCGGAAUCCGCGGGGACCAUCCCGCAAGGCUAAAUACUCCCUAGUGACCGAUAGUGAACCAGUACCGUGAGGGAAAGGUGAAAAGCACCCCGGAAGGGGAGUGAAAUAGAUCCUGAAACCGUGUGCCUACAACAAGUCAAAGCUCGUUAAUGAGUGAUGGCGUGCCUUUUGUAGAAUGAACCGGCGAGUUACGAUUGCAUGCGAGGUUAAGUCGAAGAGACGGAGCCGCAGCGAAAGCGAGUCUGAAUAGGGCGAAUAAGUAUGUAGUCGUAGACCCGAAACCAUGUGAUCUACCCAUGUCCAGGUUGAAGGUGCGGUAAAACGCACUGGAGGACCGAACCCACGUACGUUGAAAAGUGCGGGGAUGAGGUGUGGGUAGCGGAGAAAUUCCAAACGAACUUGGAGAUAGCUGGUUCUCUCCGAAAUAGCUUUAGGGCUAGCCUCGGAAUUGAGAAUGAUGGAGGUAGAGCACUGUUUGGACUAGGGGCCCAUCUCGGGUUACCGAAUUCAGAUAAACUCCGAAUGCCAUUCAUUUAUAUCCGGGAGUCAGACUGCGAGUGAUAAGAUCCGUAGUCGAAAGGGAAACAGCCCAGACCACCAGCUAAGGUCCCAAAAUAUAUGUUAAGUGGAAAAGGAUGUGGGGUUGCACAGACAACUAGGAUGUUGGCUUAGAAGCAGCCACCAUUUAAAGAGUGCGUAAUAGCUCACUAGUCGAGUGACCCUGCGCCGAAAAUGUACCGGGGCUAAACAUAUUACCGAAGCUGUGGACUACACCAUUAGGUGUAGUGGUAGGAGAGCGUUCUAAGGGCGUUGAAGGUCGAUCGUGAGGACGGCUGGAGCGCUUAGAAGUGAGAAUGCCGGUAUGAGUAGCGAAAGACAGGUGAGAAUCCUGUCCACCGUAUGACUAAGGUUUCCUGGGGAAGGCUCGUCCGCCCAGGGUUAGUCGGGACCUAAGCCGAGGCCGAUAGGCGUAGGCGAUGGACAACAGGUUGAUAUUCCUGUACCAGUUGUUUUUGUUUGAGCAAUGGAGGGACGCAGUAGGCUAAGGAAUGCAUGCGAUUGGAAGUGCAUGUCCAAGCAAUGAGUCUUGAGUAGAGUUAAAUGCUUUACUCUUUAAGGACAAGUUGUGACGGGGAGCGAAAUAAUAGUAGCGAAGUUCCUGAUGUCACACUGCCAAGAAAAGCUUCUAGUGAGAAAACAACUGCCCGUACCGUAAACCGACACAGGUAGUCGAGGCGAGUAGCCUCAGGUGAUCGAGAGAACUCUCGUUAAGGAACUCGGCAAAAUGACCCCGUAACUUCGGGAGAAGGGGUGCUGACUUCGGUCAGCCGCAGUGAAUAGGCCCAAGCGACUGUUUAUCAAAAACACAGGUCUCUGCUAAACCGUAAGGUGAUGUAUAGGGGCUGACGCCUGCCCGGUGCUGGAAGGUUAAGAGGAGUGGUUAGCGCAAGCGAAGGUACGAAUUGAAGCCCCAGUAAACGGCGGCCGUAACUAUAACGGUCCUAAGGUAGCGAAAUUCCUUGUCGGGUAAGUUCCGACCCGCACGAAAGGCGUAACGAUUUGGGCACUGUCUCAACGAGAGACUCGGUGAAAUUUUAGUACCUGUGAAGAUGCAGGUUACCCGCGACAGGACGGAAAGACCCCAUGGAGCUUUACUGUAGUUUGAUAUUGAGUGUUUGUACCACAUGUACAGGAUAGGUAGGAGCCGAUGAGACCGGAACGCUAGUUUCGGAGGAGGCGCUGGUGGGAUACUACCCCUGCGUUAUGGCCACUCUAACCCGCACCACUGAUCGUGGUGGGAGACAGUGUCAGAUGGGCAGUUUGACUGGGGCGGUCGCCUCCUAAAAGGUAACGGAGGCGCCCAAAGGUUCCCUCAGAAUGGUUGGAAAUCAUUCAUAGAGUGUAAAGGCAUAAGGGAGCUUGACUGCGAGACCUACAAGUCGAGCAGGGACGAAAGUCGGGCUUAGUGAUCCGGUGGUUCCGCAUGGAAGGGCCAUCGCUCAACGGAUAAAAGCUACCCUGGGGAUAACAGGCUUAUCUCCCCCAAGAGUUCACAUCGACGGGGAGGUUUGGCACCUCGAUGUCGGCUCAUCGCAUCCUGGGGCUGUAGUCGGUCCCAAGGGUUGGGCUGUUCGCCCAUUAAAGCGGUACGCGAGCUGGGUUCAGAACGUCGUGAGACAGUUCGGUCCCUAUCCGUCGUGGGCGUAGGAAAUUUGAGAGGAGCUGUCCUUAGUACGAGAGGACCGGGAUGGACAUACCUCUGGUGUACCAGUUGUCGUGCCAACGGCAUAGCUGGGUAGCUAUGUAUGGACGGGAUAAGUGCUGAAAGCAUCUAAGCAUGAAGCCCCCCUCAAGAUGAGAUUUCCCAACUUCGGUUAUAAGAUCCCUCGAAGAUGACGAGGUUAAUAGGUUCGAGGUGGAAGCGUGGUGACACGUGGAGCUGACGAAUACUAAUCGAUCGAAGACUUAAUCAA